CCAGCGCGACCGCCUACCCCUCCCGAUCGCGUCACACUCAAGGUUCAAAGAUGGUGUGCGCACUUGUCUGUGGUCAUUUACCAUUAUAAUGAAUGGGAGGCGCAGUUUCUACCAAAAUGCUCGCUGCAGACAAACUCCAUGUCCUUUUUGAAAAAAGUCUGGACCAUGAGUGAGGGCACAAACACAGCUAAGAUAUAUCCAAAUGGCAAGUUGCUCCUCCUUUCGGUUUUGCUGAGAGAGCGAUGCGUUUGAGCCAUUGAGCGAUGGGCAGGAAAAACUUGACUUUUUCUCCGGCCAUGGGGGGCGCUCUUUUGGGGAGAAAAAUUCCUUCACAAAUGUGUUGAUGGCUGGACAUUGCAUCAUCCUAGAAAACUUGGAGGCCAGUGAGGACAAAAAUAAAAAGUUAUAAGACUUUUAAAUAUGUGGAUAUUUGGGUCCUCUUUGGCGCCCCCUAGAACGUAAACCGUGGGGUGCAGCGUCAUGAUUUUUACAACUUUGAAUGGCCAUGGGGUGUAGAUUGGCCUGAGAAAAUUUGGUGUCAGUGGAACGAAAGCCUUAGGAGGAGUUAGCCACAUUCCAAUGUGUGCGAAUCGGCAAAAAAUGCGAAAUAGCCCUUUAAACGUACAUUUUACAGAUACGCGCGCAUUGACUUUUUCGUAGAUCUUAUUGAGAUACACGUGAUUGUCAAAUUUUGUGUCAAUAUGACAAAGCAUAUAGGCGUGACACUCAACAAUGUGUAUUUUCGCCUUAGGGGACAAGAAAAAAUGGACUUUUUUCUCCUGCCAUGGGGGGCGCUCUUUUGGCGAGUAAAAAUUCCUUCACAAAUGUGUUGAUGGCUGGACAUUGCAUCAUCCUAGAGAACUUGGAGGCCAGUGAGGACAAAAAUAAAAAGUUAUAAGACUUUUAAGACUGUGGAUUUUUGGGUUAUCUUUGGCGCCCCCUAGAACCUAAACCGUGGGGUGCAGCGGCAUGAUUUGUACAACUUUUAAUGGCCAUGGGGUGUAGAUUGGCCUGAGCAAAUGUGGUGCCGGUGGAACGAAAGCCUUCGGAGGAGUUAGCGAAAUUCCAAUGUGUGCGGAUCGGCAAAAAAUGCGAAAUAACCCUUUAACCGUACAUUUGACAGAUACGCCCGCGCUGACUUUUUUGUAGAUCUUAUUGAGAUACAUGUGUGUGUCAAUUUUUGUGUCAAUAUGACAAAGCGUACAGGCGUGACAGUCAAUAGUGUGAAUUUUCACCUUAGGGGGCGCUAUGGAGCCAUUUUGCAUUUUAUUGUUUGGGCGACUUCAGAAUAUCGAAUUUUUCACCAGGCCCGGUCGUCCUGCCAAAUUUCAUGAGUUUUCGCCAGUGGGAAGUGGGCCAUUUUUCCCUUCAAAGGGGAGGAAAAAUAAGAAGAAAGAAAGAAAGAAAGAAAGAAAGAAGAAAGAAAAACUCAUCAGGAAUAAUAGGGCUCUACGCCCGGCUGCUCUGCAGCUGGCUCGGGCCCUAAUAACAAAAGAAGGAAACAUGCAGGAACAAGAGGGCUCUCGCAGCUGCUUAGCAGCUACGCUCGGGCCCUAAAGAAAGAAAGAAAGAAACAAAGAAAAACCACUUGGGGAAUAAUAGGGCCUACGCCCGGCUGCUCUGCAGCUGGCUCGGGCCCUAACUAGGACCCCGUUGGGGCACUGGCGGGCCCGAGCCGUGUCGCGUCCCCCCCCCCCAACGUGCUGCCUCCCCGUCCCAUUUGUGUCCUCUGGCCAUCGCCCUCUCUGGUAACGCCCAUCACUGCAAAGACCCUUUUCCUUCAUCGGCGUUUGCUGUUCUUCCUGCCAGUGCGUGUUGCUUUCACUUACACUUGCCACAGCCAGCCUCGUGAGUGCCUAGCCUAUUGGAUAUCACUGUCACCUACACAGGACAGUCAUUACCUUUCUAUUAAUACUUUGUGUUUUAAUUUCACAUUAAUUUCCAUAUUGUAUAAACGACUGGAAAAAACUUGAGCCCCUGCCCCUGUAUAAUCAUGUGCAUGUCUCUGUUCUAGCUCCAAGGUGAAUCUUCACUGCUCAUGUUCUCCUCAGAAGCACUCACCUCACUCCCCUCAGGUUACUGUACACAUGCACCAACUGCCUGCUUCAGGUUUGGAUGGAGCUUCAUGGUUGUCUUUUGGAGAAAUGACCAGUCAAGUUGUGUUUGAAAUUUGAUUUUUUUCAGGGGCAAAAGGAGCCUCUGCAUUCUUGUCAAAUAUGUAAAUAGCAUGUUUUUGCAGGUGCUAAAAACCAGACUCUGAGUGUGUGUGUGUGUGUGUGUGUGUGUGUGUGUGUGUGUGUGUGUGCGUGUGUGUGUCUAUGUGUGCGUUCAAGUCACAUGACAUAUUUAACCGGAUGUAGCUGCAAGACGGAGCCUCGUUGACUCUCCGUUUCAACUUAUCUCAAAAGUGAGGACCUCAACCUAUAUACCAGUUUUUAAAUUGUGUUGAUAGGCCAAAUAAAACCAGAGUUAUGAUAAAUUAUGUCCGCGAUACUUUUUUUCUGCUUAUUUUGAUCACGUUCGGCGCUCGAUCGCGCUGUAUGAGACAGGAAAACAUAGCAUGCAGACAUUAGCGACAGGUCUUACAGGCGGAAAAGGCUUGCCAAAAGAAAAAAAAAAACCACCACAACAUCUCUCCUAUUGGUGGAAAACUUCACCACAACAACCAAUCCAAAAUUAUAUUGUGACUGAUUGACAAGGGGCGGGCGCUUACGUUCUUCCUGCAACAUGAGAAGGGAGGGAGGGACUCUCAGCAGGGAUGCAGUCUGGGACACGUAGUUGCAAACCUAGCGACUUUGUUGUUAGAUUCAAUGACUUUUCAGACACCCUAACGACUUUUUUUUAGAAAGAAAGGGACUUUUAUCGACUUCUUCUGGAGUUUAGAGACUCUGACAUGAAGCAGGCUUUCCUUACUGAGGAGUUAGCAACGCUGCUAAGGGUGCAGAGCCACACAUGCGCUCCGAGCUCUGCAUGGGAGACUGAAGCUGACAGAGCUGCAGCAGUUAGCAGGUUUCACCCUCAGAGACCACCAGGGGUUCAUGUUGAGGCAUUUUAAUUUUUUUUUUUUUUGUGCCAUAGACACUGUCAGCACAAUCUGCAGUUACACUAACAAAAAUGCUGCAAAAAACAAAGAAUUAUGGAAAAAUUACACAUGGACUGACAUAGAGGAGGAUCUACACAAGUUUUUUACAUCAUGUUUUACAUCAUGCAUCAUUUACAUCAUGUUUUUUUGUAGUGGCAUAAAUAAAAAGUGACAUUUGUGAGACUAUACAGUGUUUUGUAAAUAAUUUUACAAAGAACGCCUGGGCCAUUGCCUGCAUUUUGAUGUAAAUAGAGGUAAAUUACUAUGUUCUUUGUUUAAAAUUUGCAUAUGUUUUGAAGUUUACAAUUUUUAUUUGAAGUUUAAGUUUUAAAAACAGUUCAUCACACAUAUUUGUGGUUUAAUUUCACAUUAAUUUCCAUAUUGUAUAAAUGACUGGAAAAAACUUGAGCCCCUGCCCCUGUAUAAUCAUGUGCACGUCCCUGUUCUAGCUCCAAGGUGAAUCUUCACUGCUCAUGUUCUCCUCAGAAAUAGUCACCUCACUCCCCUCAGGUUACUGUACACAUGCACCAACUAUCUGCUUCAGGUUUGAAAUGGAGCUUCAUGGUUGUCUUUUGGAGAAAUGAACAGUCAAGUUGUGUUUGAAAUUUGAUUUUUUUCAGGGGCAAAAGGAAGCCUCUGCAUUCUUGUCAAAUAUGUAAACAGCAUGUUUUUGCAGGUGCUAAAAAACAGACUCUGAGUGUGUGUGUGUGUCUGUGUGUGUGUGUGUGUGUGUGUGUGUGUGUGUAUGUUGGCGUGUGUGUAUAUGUGUGUGUAUCCUGCAGUACUCUGUACUCCUGCAGUGGCCAAAAAGACUUUUAAGAAUGUGGAUUUUUGGGUCAUCUUUGGCGCCCCCUAGAACUGCAGUACUCUGUACUCCUGCAGUGGCCAAAAUGACUUUUAAGAAUGUGGAUAUUUGGGUCAUCUUUGGCGCCCCCUAGAACGUAAACCGUGGGGUGCAGCGUCAUGAUUUUUACAACUUUGAAUGGCCAUGGGGUGUAGAUUGGCCUGAGCAAAUUUGGUGUCAGUGGGACGAAAGCCUUAGGAGGAGUUAGCCACAUUCCAAUGUGUGCUAAUCGGCAAAAAAUGCGAAAUAGCCCUUUAACCGUACAUUUUACAGAUACGCGCGCAUUGACUUUUUCGUAGAUCUUAUUGAGAUACAUGUGUGUGUCAAAUUUUGUGUCAAUAUGACAAAGCAUACAGGUAUGACAGUCAACAAUGUGUAUUUUCACCUUAUGGGACAAGAAAAAAUGGACUUUUUUCUCCUGCCAUGGGGGGGCGCUCUUUUAGGGAGUAAAAAUUCCUUCACAAAUGUGUUGAUGGCUGGACAUUGCAUCAUCCUAGAAAACUUGGAGGCCAGAGAGGACAAAAAUAAAAAGUUAAAAGACUUUUAAAUAUGUGGAUUUUAGGGUUAUCUUUGGCGCCCCCUAGAACCUAAACCGUGGGGUGCAGCGUCAUGAUUUGAAUAACUUUUAAUGGCCAUGGGGUGUAGAUUGGCCUGAGCAAAUGUGGUGCCGGUUGAACGAAAGCCUUCGGAGGAGUUAGCGAAAUUCCAAUGUGUGCGGAUCGGCAAAAAAUGCGCAAUAACCCUUUAACCGUACAUUUGACAGAUACGCGCGCACUGACUUUUUUGUAGAUCUUAUUGAGAUAGAUGUGUGUGUCAAUUUUUGUGUAAUUUUGACAAAGCGUACAGGCGUGACAGUCAAUAGUGUGAAUUUUCACCUUAUGGAACAAGAAAAAAUGGACUUUUUUCUCCUGCCAUGGGGGGGCGCUCUUUUGGGGAGUAAAAAUUCCUUCACAAAUGUGUUGAUGGCUGGACAUUGCAUCAUCCUAGAAAACUUGGAGGCCAGUGAGGGCAAAAAUAAAAAGUUAUAAGACUUUGAAAUAUGUGGAUUUUAGGGUUAUCUUUGGCGCCCCCUAGAACAUAAACCGUGGGGUGCAGCGUCAUGAUUUGAAUAACUUUUAAUGGCCAUGGGGUGUAGAUUGGCCUGAGCAAAUGUGGUGCCGGUGGAACGAAAGCCUUCGGAGGAGUUAGCGAAAUUCCAAUGUGUGCGGAUCGGCAAAAAAUGCGAAAUAACCCUUUAACCGUACAUUUGACAGAUACGCCCGCACUGACUUUUUUGUAGAUCUUAUUGAGAUACAUGUGUGUGUCAAUUUUUGUGUCAUUUUGACAAAGCGUACAGGCGUCAGGUGAAUUUUUCACCUUAGGGGGCGCUAUGGAGCCAUUUUGCAUUGUAUUGUUUGGGCGACUUCAGAAUAUCAAAUUUUUCACCAGGCCCGGUCGUCCUGCCAAAUUUCAUGAGUUUUCGCCAGUGGGAAGUGGGCCAUUUUCCAGUUCAAAGGGGAGGAAAAAUAAUAACUAGGACCCCGUUGGGGCACUGGCGGGCCCGAGCUGUGUCGCGUCCCCCCCCCAACGCGCUGCCUCCCCGUCCCAUUUGUGUCCUCUGGCCAUCGCCCUCUCUGGUAACGCCCAUCACUGCAAAGACCCUUUUCCUUCAUCGGCGUUUGCUGUUCUUCCUGCCAGUGCGUGUUGCUUUCACUUACACUUGCCACAGCCAGCCUCGUGAGUGCCUAGCCUAUUGGAUAUCACUGUCACCUACACAGGACAGUCAUUACCUUUCUAUUAAUACUUUGUGUUUUAAUUUCACAUUAAUUUCCAUAUUGUAUAAACGACUGGAAAAAACUUGAGCCCCUGCCCCUGUAUAAUCAUGUGCAUGUCUCUGUUCUAGCUCCAAGGUGAAUCUUCACUGCUCAUGUUCUCCUCAGAAGCAGUCACCUCACUCCCCUCAGGUUACUGUACACAUGCACCAACUGCCUGCUUCAGGUUUGGAUGGAGCUUCAUGGUUGUCUUUUGGAGAAAUGACCAGUCAAGUUGUGUUUGAAAUUUGAUUUUUUUCAGGGGCAAAAGGAGCCUCUGCAUUCUUGUCAAAUAUGUAAAUAGCAUGUUUUUGCAGGUGCUAAAAACCAGACUCUGAGUGUGUGUGUGUGCGUGUGUGUGUGUGUGUCUGUGUGUGUGUGUGUGUGUGUGUGUGUGUGUGCGUUCAAGUCACAUGACAUAUUUAACCGGAUGUAGCUGCAAGACGGAGCCUCGUUGACUCCGUUUCAACUUAUCUCAAAAGUGAGGACCUCAACCUAUAUACCAGUUUUUAAAUUGUGUUGAUAGGCCAAAUAAAACCAGAGUUAUGAUAAAUUAUGUCCGCGAUACUUGUUUUCUGCUUAUUUUGAUCACGUUCGGCGCUCGAUCGCGCUGUAUGAGACAGGAAAACAUAGCAUGCAGACAUUAGCGACAGGUCUUACAGGCGGAAAAGGCUUGCCAAAGGAAAAAAAAAACACACCACAACAUCUCUCCUAUUGGUGGAAAACUUCACCACAACAACCAAUCCAAAAUUAUAUGGUGACUGAUUGACAAGGGGCGGGCGCUUACGUUCUUCCUGCAAUAUGAGAAGGGAGGGAGGGACUCUCAGCAGGGAUACAGUCUGGGACACGUAGUUGCAAACCUAGCGACUUUGUUGUUAGAUUCAAUGACUUUUCAGACCCCCUAACGACUUUUUUUUUAGAAAGAAAGUGACUUUUAUCGACUUCUUCUGGAGUUUAGAGACUCUGACAUGAAGCAGGCUUUCCCUACUGAGGAGUUAGCAACGCUGCUAAGGGUGCAGAGCCACACAUGCGCUCAGAGCUCUGCAUGGGAGACUGAAGCUGACAGAGCUGCAGCAGUUAGCAGGUUUCACCCUCAGAGACCACCAGGGGUUCAUGUUGAGGCAUUUUCAGUUUUUUUUUUUUUUUUUUGCCAUAGACACUGUCAGCACAAUCUGCAGUUACACUAACAAAAAUGCUGCAAAAAACAAAGAAUUAUGGAAAAAUUACACAUGGACUAACAUAGAGGAGGAUCUACACAAGUUUUUUACAUCAUGUUUUACAUCAUGCAUCAUUUACAUCAUGUUUUUUUGUAGUGGCAUAAAUAAAAAGUGACAUUUGUGAGACUAUACAGUGUUUUGUAAAUAAUUUUACAAAGAACACCUGGGCCAUUGCCUGCAUUUUGAUGUAAAUAGAGGUAAAUUACUAUGUUCUUUGUUAAAAAUUUGCAUAUGUUUUGAAGUUUACAAUUUUUAUUUGAAGUUUAAGUUUUAAAAACAGUUCAUCACACAUAUUUGUGGUUUUCACAGUAAAAACGUUACUUUUUUCCACUCGGAUUUUAUGUUUUGUGUGUGAAUUUGGGUCCAAUGUGUAAAUAUAGUAUGUCAAAAUGAUAAAAUAACUGUAAAUUGACACAGGUGAGGUUGUGCUGAAAAAAAUGAUACCAGGCAAGGCAAGGUAAAAAUUUUGUAAGAGGAAAUAUAAAGGUAAAAUCUAAAGUAGUCAAAAACGGCCAAUAGUGACUCACAGACUCCACAGACAAGUCCCUUUGGCGCCACUCAGUGGGCAAAACUACUUUGUCUACUGUAAUGUAUAUUUGGGUCAUCUUUGGCGCCCCCUAAAACGUAAACCGUGGGGUGCAGCGUCAUGAUUUUUACAACUUUGAAUGGCCAUGGAGUGUAGAUUGGCCUGAGCAAAUUUGGUGUCAGUGGGACGAAAGCCUUAGGAGGAGUUAGCGAAAUUCCAAUGUGUGCGAAUCGGCAAAAAAUGCAAAAUAGCCCUUUUACCGUACAUUAUACAGAUACGCGCUCUUUGACUUUUUCGUAGAUCUAAUUGAGAUACACAUGAUUGUCAAUUUUUGUGUCAUUUUGCCAAAGCGUACAGGCGUGACAGUCAACAAUGUGUAUUUUCACCUUAGGGGACAAGAAAAAAUGGACUUUUUUCUCCUGCCAUGGGGGGGCGCUCUUUUAGGGAGUAAAAAUUCCUUCACAAAUGUGUUGAUGGCUGGACAUUGCAUCAUCCUAGAAAACUUGGAGGCCAGUGAGGACAAAAAUAAAAAGUUAUAAGACUUUUAAAAAUGUGGAUUUUUGGGUUAUCUUUGGCGCCCCCUAGAACGUAAACCGUGGGGUGCAGCGUCAUGAUUUGAAUAACUUUUAAUGGCCAUGGGGUGUAGAUUGGCCUGAGCAAAUGUGGUGCCGGUGGAACGAAAGCCUUCGGAGGAGUUAGCGAAAUUCCAAUGUGUGCGAAUCGGCAAAAAAUGCGGAAUAACCCUUUAACCGUACAUUUGACAGAUACGCGCGCAUGGACUUUUUUGUAGAUCUUAUUGAGAUACAUGUGUGUGUCAAUUUUUGUGUCAUUUUGACAAAGCGUACAGGCGUGACACUCAACAAUGUGUAUUUUCACCUUAGGGGACAAGAAAAAAUGGACUUUUUUCUCCUGCCAUGGGGGGGCGCUCUUUUGGGGAGUAAAAAUUCCUUCACAAAUGUGUUGAUGGCUGGACAUUGCAUCAUCCUAGAAAACUUGGAGGCCAGUGAGGGCAAAAAUAAAAAGUUAUAAGACUUUUAAAUAUGUGGAUUUUAGGGUUAUCUUUGGCGCCCCCUAGAACCUAAACCGUGGGGUGCAGCGUCAUGAUUUGAAUAACUUUUAAUGGCCAUGGGGUGUAGAUUGGCCUGAGCAAAUGUGGUGCCGGUGGAACGAAAGCCUUCAAAGGAGUUAGCGAAAUUCCAAUGUGUGCGGAUCGGCAAAAAAUGCGAAAUAACCCUUUAACCGUACAUUUGACAGAUACGCCCGCACUGACUUUUUUGUAGAUCUUAUUGAGAUACAUGUGUGUGUCAAAUUUUGUGUCAUUUUGACAAAGCGUACAGGCGUGACACUCAAUAGUGUGAAUUUUCACCUUAGGGGGCGCUAUGGAGCCAUUUUGCAUUUUCUUGUUUGGGCGACUUCGGAAUAUCAAAUUUUUCACCAGGCCCGGUCGUCCUGCCAAAUUUCAUGAGUUUUCGCCAGUGGGAAGUGGGCCAUUUUCCAGUUCAAAGGGGAGGAAAAAGAAAAAAGAAACAAAGAAAAACCCCUUGGGGAAUAAUAGGGCUCUCGCAGCUGCUUAGCAGCUACGCUCGGGCCCUAAUAACAAAAGAAGGAAACAUGCAGGAACAAGAGGGCUCUCGCAGCUGCUUAGCAGCUACGCUCGGGCCCUAACUAGGACCCCGUUGGGGCACUGGCGGGCCCGAGCCGUGUCGCGUCUCCCCCCCCCCCCAACGUGCUGCCUCCCCGUCCCAUUUGUGUCCUCUGGCCAUCGCCCUCUCUGUUAACGCCCAUCACUGCAAAGACCCUUUUCCUUCAUCGGCGUUUGCUGUUCUUCCUGCCAGUGCGUGUUGCUUUCACUUACACUUGCCACAGCCAGCCUCGUGAGUGCCUAGCCUAUUGGAUAUCACUGUCACCUACACAGGACAGUCAUUACCUUUCUAUUAAUACUUUGUGUUUUAAUUUCACAUUAAUUUCCAUAUUGUAUAAACGACUGGAAAAAACUUGAGCCCCUGCCCCUGUAUAAUCAUGUGCACGUCUCUGUUCUAGCUCUAAGGUAAAUCUUCACUGCUCAUGUUCUCCUCAGAAGCACUCACCUCACUCCCCUCAGGUUACUGUACACAUGCACCAACUGCCUGCUUCAGGUUUGGAUGGAGCUUCAUGGUUGUCUUUUGGAGAAAUGACCAGUCAAGUUGUGUUUGAAAUUUGAUUUUUUUCAGGGGCAAAAGGAGCCUCUGCAUUCUUGUCACAUAUGUAAAUAGCAUGUUUUUGCAGGUGCUACAAACCAGACUCUGAGUGUGUGUGUGUGCGCGUGUGUGUGUGUCUGAAUGUGUGUGUGUGUGUGCGUUCAAGUCACAUGACAUAUUUAACCGGAUGUAGCUGCAAGACGGAGCCUCGUUGACUCUCCGUUUCAAUUUAUCUCAAAAGUGAGGACCUCAACCUAUAUACCAGUUUUUAAAUUGUGUUGAUAGGCCAAAUAAAACCAGAGUUAUGAUAAAUUAUGUCCGCGAUACUUGUUUUCUGCUUAUUUUGAUCACGUUCGGCGCUCGAUCGCGCUGUAUGAGACAGGAAAACAUAGCAUGCAGACAUUAGCGACAGGUCUUACAGGCGGAAAAGGCUUGCCAAAGGAAAAAAAAUACACACCACAACAUCUCUCCUAUUGGUGGAAAACUUCACCACACCAACCAAUCCAAAAUUAUAUGGUGACUGAUUGACAAGGGGCGGGAACUUACGUUCUUCCUGCAAUAUGAGAAGGGAGGGAGGGACUCUCAGCAGGGAUGCAGUCUGGGACACGUAGUUGCAAACCUAGCGACUUUGUUGUUAGAUUCAAUGACUUUUCAGACCCCCUAACGACUUUUUUUUAGAAAGAAAGUGACUUUUAUCGACUUCUUCUGGAGUUUAGAGACUCUGACAUGAAGCAGGCUUUCCUUACUGAGGAGUUAGCAACGCUGCUAAGGGUGCAGAGCCACACAUGCGCUCCGAGCUCUGCAUGGGAGACUGAAGCUGACAGAGCUGCAGCAGUUAGCAGGUUUCACCCUCAGAGACCACCAGGGGUUCAUGUUGAGGCAUUUUCAGUUUUUUUUUUUUUUUUUUUGCCAUAGACACUGUCAGCACAAUCUGCAGUUACACUAACAAAAAUGCUGCAAAAAACAAAGAAUUAUGGAAAAAUUACACAUGGACUAACAUAGAGGAGGAUCUACACAAGUUUUUUACAUCAUGUUUUACAUCAUGCAUCAUUUACAUCAUGUUUUUUUGUAGUGGCAUAAAUAAAAAGUGACAUUUGUGAGACUAUACAGUGUUUUGUAAAUAAUUUUACAAAGAACACCUGGGCCAUUGCCUGCAUUUUGAUGUCAAUAGAGGUAAAUUACUAUGUUCUUUGUUAAAAAUUUGCAUAUGUUUUGAAGUUUACAAUUUUUAUUUGAAGUUUAAGUUUUAAAAACAGUUCAUCACACAUAUUUGUGGUUUUCACAGUAAAAACGUUACUUUUUUCCACUCGGAUUUUAUGUUUUGUGUGUGAAUUUGGGUCCAAUGUGUAAAUAUAGUAUGUCAAAAUGAUAAAAUAACUGUAAAUUGACACAGGUGAGGUUGUGCUGAAAAAAAUGAUACCAGGCAAGGCAAGGUAAAAAUUUUGUAAGAGGAAAUAUAAAGGUAAAAUCUAAAGUAGUCAAAAACGGCCAAUAGUGACUCACAGACUCCACAGACAAGUCCCUUUGGCGCCACUCAGUGGGCAAAACUACUUUGUCUACUGUAAUGUAUAUUUGGGUCAUCUUUGGCGCCCCCUAAAACGUAAACCGUGGGGUGCAGCGUCAUGAUUUUUACAACUUUGAAUGGCCAUGGAGUGUAGAUUGGCCUGAGCAAAUUUGGUGUCAGUGGGACGAAAGCCUUAGGAGGAGUUAGCGAAAUUCCAAUGUGUGCGAAUCGGCAAAAAAUGCAAAAUAGCCCUUUUACCGUACAUUAUACAGAUACGCGCUCUUUGACUUUUUCGUAGAUCUAAUUGAGAUACACAUGAUUGUCAAUUUUUGUGUCAUUUUGCCAAAGCGUACAGGCGUGACAGUCAACAAUGUGUAUUUUCACCUUAGGGGACAAGAAAAAAUGGACUUUUUUCUCCUGCCAUGGGGGGGCGCUCUUUCAGGGAGUAAAAAUUCCUUCACAAAUGUGUUGAUGGCUGGACAUAGCAUCAUCCUAGAAAACUUGGAGGCCAGUGAGGACAAAAAUAAAAAGUUAUAAGACUUUUAAAAAUGUGGAUUUUUGGGUUAUCUUUGGCGCCCCCUAGAACGUAAACCGUGGGGUGCAGCGUCAUGAUUUGAAUAACUUUUAAUGGCCAUGGGGUGUAGAUUGGCCUGAGCAAAUGUGGUGCCGGUGGAACGAAAGCCUUCGGAGGAGUUAGCGAAAUUCCAAUGUGUGCGGAUCGGCAAAAAAUGCGAAAUAACCCUUUAACCGUACAUUUGACAGAUACGCCCGCACUGACUUUUUUGUAGAUCUUAUUGAGAUACAUGUGUGUGUCAAUUUUUGUGUCAUUUUGACAAAGCGUACAGGCGUGACAGUCAAUAGUGUGAAUUUUCACCUUAGGGGGCGCUAUGGAGCCAUUUUGCAUUUUCUUGUUUGGGCGACUUCGGAAUAUCAAAUUUUUCACCAGGCCCGGUCGUCCUGCCAAAUUUCAUGAGUUUUCGCCAGUGGGAAGUGGGCCAUUUUCCAGUUCAAAGGGGAGGAAAAAGAAACUAGGGCCCCGUUGGGGCACUGGCGGGCCCGAGCCGUGUCGCGCCGCCCCCAGCGCGACCGCCUACCCCUCCCGAUGGCGUCACACUCAAGGUCCAAAGAUGGUGUGCGCACUUGUCUGUGGUCAUUUACCAUUAUAAUGAAUGGGAGGCGCAGUUUCUACCAAAACGCUCGCUGCAGACAAACUCCAUGUCCUUUUUGAAAAAAGUCUGGACCAUGAGUGAGGGCACAAACACAGCUAGUAUAUAUCCAAAUGGCAAGUUUCUCCUCCUUUCGGUUUUGCCGAGAGAGCGAUGCGUUUGAGCCAUUGAGCGAUGGGCAGGA
Molecule: non-coding RNA, 12490 nt
Organism: Xyrichtys novacula (pearly razorfish)
Lineage: Eukaryota; Metazoa; Chordata; Actinopteri; Labriformes; Labridae
Source: the annotation of a GenBank genome assembly